CCUCACCUGAUCAAGAUAUACCUUAUAUAAGCAGCCAGCCUCAUUGGGACAAAUCCAGAUCCCACGGCGACUGUGUUUGGUGGUUAUGACAGAUUUUGGCUGCAGGAAGACGUCAGCACCUCCUUCAAUAGGUGUCUCAACAUCCCUCCCUAACAGGAAGGCUACAGCUUCAACCAUUUUACCAUCUGACCAUCUUACCUCUGUGAGCUUUACAGAUAGCACAGGGUCUUCACCGCAACCUUAGGAAGGGAGCGCUCCCCCGCACCC
Molecule: long non-coding RNA, 267 nt
Organism: Rana temporaria (common frog)
Lineage: Eukaryota; Metazoa; Chordata; Amphibia; Anura; Ranidae
Exons: 3
Source: RefSeq, a predicted model, not a curated record